AGGGCUAUCGCCAAGCGGUAAGGCACAGGACUUUGACUCCUGCAUACGCUGGUUCGAAUCCAGCUAGCCCUGUCA
Molecule: transfer RNA, 75 nt
Filed under: Clostridium sp. CAG:510
Lineage: Bacteria; Bacillati; Bacillota; Clostridia; Eubacteriales; Clostridiaceae
Description: transfer RNA-Gln(TTG)
Rfam family: tRNA
About the family: Transfer RNA (tRNA) molecules are approximately 80 nucleotides in length. Their secondary structure includes four short double-helical elements and three loops (D, anti-codon, and T loops). Further hydrogen bonds mediate the characteristic L-shaped molecular structure. tRNAs have two regions of fundamental functional importance: the anti-codon, which is responsible for specific mRNA codon recognition, and the 3' end, to which the tRNAs corresponding amino acid is attached (by aminoacyl-tRNA synthetases). tRNAs cope with the degeneracy of the genetic code in two manners: having more than one tRNA (with a specific anti-codon) for a particular amino acid; and 'wobble' base-pairing, i.e. permitting non-standard base-pairing at the 3rd anti-codon position.
Source: RNAcentral